RNAcentral lists this long non-coding RNA (2330 nucleotides) under Brassica napus (rape). RNAcentral's name for it is "long non-coding RNA (BNAP_LNC000700)". Lineage: Eukaryota; Viridiplantae; Streptophyta; Magnoliopsida; Brassicales; Brassicaceae. The record is from RNAcentral.
GCAGAACUUCUUUUACGCGGUGGAUCUCGGCGAUGAUCAGCGAGUGAAGAAUGUGUUUUGGGUGGAUGCGAAGAGCAGGGGCAGCUAUGUUAGUUUCUGUGAUGUUGUUUCUCUUGAUACUACCUACGUGAGAAGCAAGUACAAGACGCCGCUUGCUGUUUUCGUCGGUGUGAAUCAACACUAUCAGUACAUGGUCCUUGGGUGCGCUUUGCUAUCCGACGAGAGCGCAGCUACGUUCUCUUGGUUGAUGGAGACGUGGCUGAAAGCAAUGGGUGGACAGGCUCCAAAGGUUUUGAUCACUGAGCAAGAGGCGGUAAUGAACUCCAUCGUUCCUGUAAUCUUCCCAAACACUCGGCAUUGCGUUUUCCUCUGGCAUGUGUUGGUUAAAGUCUCUGAGAAUCUUGCCCACGUUGCUAAGCAGCAUGAAGAUUUUAUGCCAAAGUUUGAGAAGUGCAUUUAUAAAUCAUGGAAGGAGGAAGACUUUGCGAGGAGAUGGUGGAAGAUUCUUGCUAAAUUCGGCCUCAAGGAAGAUCAGUGGAUGCAGUCUUUAUACGAAGACCGGAGGAAAUGGGCGCCGACCUACAUGACUACAUAAUAAAAAGUAUAGCAUACCAUAUUUACUAUAUGUCACCAUUUAAACGAUAACUAAAAUUAUUUGUUUUACAUUAACCGCAGUUAUUACAUAAUAUACAUUUUUAUAUGAAUUACACUUAAACGAUACCGUAUUAUCUAUUUUUUUUAUUUGCAUUAUAUAAUAAAUUGUUCCUAUAAAAAGUAUACAUGUAUUAUAUAUCAACCACAUUUAUUAUACAAUAUACGUUUUUUUUUGUUACAAACCACACUUAAACGAUACCGUAUUAUCUAAUCCGCUUAUCCGCACCGUCCAAUAAAUAGUCACCAUACCAACCAAACAUGGUGCUGCCUCUAGACAGAGAGAAACCCUAGAAACCAAAAGAAAAAGAGAAGCAAUCGUGCCUCCUCCUUCUCCGACCACUCGCUUCCUCAGAUCGCGUGAACAUCACUCGAUUUCUCUCUUCUCUCCCUAUCAUCUCGCAGAUCCAAACCCCAACUCGCACCAAUCAGCGCGUGCCUCCUCCCUCCUCCCUCCUCCUUCUUCCUCUUCCUCCUCGCGACUAGAUUUCAGAUUGGUCUUUCCGAUUAUCCGCCUUGUUCUCCAAUCUCCGCACGAGGUAACUCCAUUCCAUCUUCUUACAGUUGAACUGCUCUCCUCGUCUCGAUCAGUUACUGCAAUUAGAUUCUGUAAUAAAAAAGAACAUGCCUUGAUGUAAUAACGAAUCACUACCUUCAACUACUUUUUUUAGAAACUAAUAAUGUGUAAUGUGUUUUGACUUAAACUCAACGAAAUGUUACAGUGCUUGUCAAUGGACAUAGAUCUUCGUCUACAUUCAGGUGACCAAGGCGAUGAUUCAGCCAGGGGACUUGACAACGUCCUGCACAACUCAGACAUAGACAUUGGCAAGAUCGAGGAAGAUGUCAUGGCCGCUACAACCGGAGAAUUGGUCGACUACACAGAAACCGUCAACCUCGAACCACUUAACGGCAUGGAGUUCGACUCACACGGCGAAGCGUACGCCUUCUACCAAGAGUACUCACGUGCCAUAGGGUUCAACACCGCGAUACAGAACAGUCGUAGGUCCAAGACCACGAGGGAGUUUAUUGACGCUAAGUUCGCUUGCUCUAGGUACGGUACUAAAAGAGAGUAUGAGAACAAGUCCUGUAACAGGCCGAGAGCUAGGCAGAGCAAGCAGGAUCAUCCUGAGAGUAAUAUGGCUGGUGGUUGUAGGAGGACUUGCGCGAAAACCGAUUGUAAAGCGAGUAUGCAUGUUAAGAGAAGGUCUAAUGGGAAGUGGGUGAUUCAUAGCUUCGUGAGGGAGCAUAACCACGAGCUUGUGCCUGCGCAAGCUGUGACUGAACAGGCGAGGAGGAUCUACGCUGCUAUGGCUAAGCAGUUCGCUGAGUACAAAACUGUCGUCGGGUUAAAAAGUGAUGCGAAGAGUUUAGGUCGGAGUUUGUCAGUGGUGGAGACAGGAGAUUUCAAAGCUCUGCUUGAGUUCUUGUCGCGGAUGCAGAACUUCUUUUACGCGGUGGAUCUCGGCGAUGAUCAGCGAGUGAAGAAUGUGUUUUGGGUGGAUGCGAAGAGCAGGGGCAGCUAUGUUAGUUUCUGUGAUGUUGUUUCUCUUGAUACUACCUACGUGAGAAGCAAGUACAAGACGCCGCUUGCUGUUUUCGUCGGUGUGAAUCAACACUAUCAGUACAUGGUCCUUGGGUGCGCUUUGCUAUCCGACGAGAGCGCAGCUACGUUCUCUUGG